UUUGGAGAAGAAUUCAAUCUUCUUUCACUAUGGGCAGACUCUCCCUUGCCAUUUUUGUGCAAAUCUUGGACAUCUCAUAUGCAUCUUCAUCUUUUUUCCCUUAUUUCAGGCUGCGAAAUCCUUCUUAUCCAAAGGUUACAAUAGAAUCUCCCAUUUGGAGAAAUCACUGAACCAAAUCAUGUGAAGCCUUAAUACUUACCAGACAAAUUUUAACUCAAUUGAGGUUUUGAAUUCAAUUUUCCGCCCAAGAAAGAACACCCGGAACCCUACCUUCGCAUCUAUAAAUACCAAGAGACUAGGGAGCCUUGCGGGGGUUUUGAGUCCAAAAUCGUCAAGUUCCAAGUGUGGGCUUCGCGAUCUAAUGUUACCCAUUCACUGCCCCGUGGAAGAGCCGAAGAGUCUCGUGACGAGGCUCAACGUCGCCAUCAGACAUUCUCAAUCAUGGAGCCAAUGCAUAUCUAUUUUGAACCCACUUAAUCUCCCCAGCACUAUACAUAAAUAGUGGAGAAGAUAGUCAUCUCAUCUCUAGGACUAUUCAAAUAGUCUUGUUCAUUCCUAUUUAACUACUCACUUUUCUCGUUAACUGAUAUCCUCGUUUUGAUUCAUAAUUUAUCUUUACAUGCUUUAUUUAA
Molecule: long non-coding RNA, 632 nt
Organism: Capsicum annuum
Lineage: Eukaryota; Viridiplantae; Streptophyta; Magnoliopsida; Solanales; Solanaceae
Exons: 3
Source: RefSeq, a predicted model, not a curated record